GCGGGGAUCGAGCGUGGCUGCCAGUCUCUCGUCGUGUCUCGCGGAGAUCGAAGUCAGUCGUUGUUCGAGUGGCAUCGAAGCUGUGUCGAGCGGAUAACAAAACGGAUCUCCGAUGAUCCGUGAUUAAUUGUGAACUAGAUCAUCGGUGUCGGGAGGAUCAAGAUAGUAAUGGACGAUCGAUGUAACAUUUUUAAUAAGCGUUGAGUUGACGCAUGUUGAAAUGUGUACCAAGCAUCGAGUCUCGAGCAAUUCUUGAAUCCAACGUCGCAAGCUACCCGGUGUACAAACUGAAAAUAGUGUUGUCAAUCGGUCGUCGAUCGAAUUCCAGUUAUUUCGCGGCGAGUGGUGAAUAGAAAAAGAUUUAUGAAUGAGCGUCGACCGAGGUCUGAACAUGCUGCACAAGCAUGGAGGCAGCAAAUCGAAGAGCAGCAUGCUAUACAGGAGCAGAGAUAGAGAUGCUUUCCUUAAAUCCAUGUCGGAGUUCCCAGCGGAGGGAGGGGACAACGGUGACAUGCACACUGUCAUGGAGAAUUUCCAAAAGAAAAACAACCUGGUGACCGGCAGGAGCCACGUCAGUCACCACCCUCAGGUCACUUCCUCGUCGCAGAUGCUGACGACGAACCAGAGCCAGAGCAGCAGUAGCUCGAGCAGGGUAGCCAAAUCCUCGCAGAGGAUUGUAAGCUCGUCCUCUUCAAGUGAGAUGAAAGCUAGCUCCAUGAAGAGCGACCUAAGGGAACUUCAACGUGGCAUUUCAGAAAUGAAGAACAACAUAUCGACUAACUUCUCGCAACGAUUACGUAGCAGCAUGGAGAACCUCGUGGACAGAGACGGAAACGGUACCGAGGAAGCCGAUCUAACCGAACCAUUGGUCACCUUCCCUGAUCCGGACACACCACCUCCGGUCACUGGAACGGUCACCUUACCAGGCGGACCACCCUCGCAACUCAGCUCCUUGAAUUCUUUGAACAAUCUUCACAAUAUGAGCCCACCGAUCAGUAUAUCGAACAUCUCGAACAUGACGAAUUUACCUGCUGGCCAGGAGACAAUGAAGUUCGAGCAGAAGAAGAUGACCAGCGCGUCCAAGACAAAGGUUGUCACCGACGGUUUCAGCGCCGAAAAGGCGACUGCGAAUAGCGCCGAGAUGAGAGCCUUACAAGCUGGCGACGUCUCGUACAAGGAACAGAGCGCCGCGACGGCGGCCAGGGCACGCGUCGAACUCGAUGGCGUCUCCGCGGAGAAAAGCGUCGCUGCGGCAAGGGAACAGAGAAGCUUGAAAGCUGGCGAUCUCUCGCACCAAGAGAGCAAUAACAUGGCAGCGUCCACGAUGAAGCUGCAGAGUGAUUCCUUCAGUUCGGAAAAGAAAGCCGUGGCGGCGCAACAUCAAAAACAAACGGUCACCUCGACCGGUAUCUUCAACCAGGAGAAACACAUGUUGAGUACCAGCUCGCAGUCGAGUAUCACGAUUGCUUCAAACGGAGUUGCCUCGAAGUCGUCGAUGAUUAGUGCGGCAAGUGCGGUGAAUCAGUUGAUGAACGGCAUGAGGCCAGCCGAGGAUGAACUCCUAUCUUUACCCCUGGACGAUCUGGAUCUUCUAUGUUCGAAAUCGAAUCCGCAGGACGUCGAUCGGGCCAUCACGAAAUACUCCAACUUCCUCGACAGUUUUGUCGAACGUUUGAAGGCGAACGAUGGGAAAAACGGGAAAGCUCCGUUGCUUUUGAACAGAGUGAACGAGAUCAUCAGGAAGGCUUGGGCAGUGCCUACUCACGGCCAUGAGUUAGGUUACACCUUGUGCAACACCUUGAGAACGAGAGGUGGCCUCGAUCUCCUCAUGUCGAACUGCGUGGCCAGCGAUCAGGAAUUACAAUUCUCCUCGGCCAGAUUGCUCGAACAAUGUCUGACCACCGAGAACAGGGCGCACGUGGUGGAACACGGUUUGGAGAAGGUGGUGAACGUCGCUUGUGUCUGUACGAAGAACGCGAACUCGGUGGAUCAUUCCAGGGUAGGCACCGGUAUCUUGGAACAUUUGUUUAAGCACAGCGAAGGCACCUGCAGCGACGUGAUCAGGCUGGGCGGUUUGGACGCUGUACUCUUCGAAUGUAGAAAGAACGACAUCGAAACGUUGAGACACUGCGCUGGUGCUUUGGCGAACCUGUCCCUGUACGGUGGUGCAGAGAACCAGGAGGCGAUGAUCAAAAGGAAGGUACCUAUGUGGUUGUUCCCUCUGGCUUUUCACAACGACGAUAACAUCAAGUACUAUGCAUGUCUGGCGAUCGCGGUACUGGUAGCCAACAAAGAAAUAGAAGCCGCGGUGCUGAAGUCGGGUACCUUGGAUCUGGUCGAGCCGUUCGUCACCUCGCACAAUCCUUACGAGUUCGCCAAGUCCAAUCUGGCGCACGCUCAUGGCCAGAGUAAGAACUGGCUAGAGAGGUUGGUACCGGUGUUGAGCUCGAAGAGAGAGGAAGCCAGGAACCUGGCCGCCUUCCACUUUUGCAUGGAAGCGGGCAUCAAGAAGCAACAGGGUAACACAGAGAUAUUCCGUGCGAUCGGGGCCAUCGAACCUCUGAAAAAAGUAGCCAGUUGUCCCAACGCCGUCGCCUCCAAAUACGCAGCUCAAGCACUGCGGCUGAUCGGCGAGGAGAUACCCCACAAACUUAGUCAACAGGUACCUCUCUGGUCCACGGAGGAUGUCAGGGAGUGGGUGAAACAAAUUGGCUUCGCAGAGUGCGCGCACAACUUCGUGGAGAGUAGGGUGGACGGUGAUCUCUUGCUACAACUGACCGAGGAGAAUCUCAAGGAAGAUAUUGGACUUACAAAUGGAAUCAGAAGGAGACGGUUCACCAGAGAAUUACAGAACUUGAAGAAGAUGGCUGAUUACAGUAGUCGAGAUACAGGAAACCUGAACAGUUUCCUCCAGUCUAUCGGUCAAGAGUUCUCGAUUUACACGUACAGUAUGCUCAACGCUGGCGUUGACAAGGACUCGAUCAGAAAUCUGUCGGAAGAUCAACUUCAGACCGAAUGCGGGAUCACGAACAGUAUUCAUCGGUUAAGGAUACUGGACGCCAUUAAAAAUAUGCAGCACAAUCAGUUGGGUUCGUGCGAGGACGAAUCACCUGACAAAUCGUUGGACGUGUUCGUUAGUUAUAGAAGAUCGAAUGGAUCACAGUUGGCCAGUUUACUGAAAGUCCAUUUGCAGUUGCGCGGUUUCUCUGUGUUCAUCGAUGUCGAGAGGCUAGAGGCUGGGAAAUUCGAUAAUAAUCUGUUGCAGAGCAUUAGACAGGCGAAACACUUCCUCCUUGUGCUAACGCCCAAGGCUUUGGAAAGGUGUAUACAGGACACUGAAUGUAAAGACUGGGUUCAUAGGGAGAUCGUAGCAGCUCUACAGUCACAGUGUAAUAUAAUUCCCAUCAUAGACAAUUUCCAGUGGCCAGAGCCUGAAGAACUUCCCGAAGACAUGCGAGCAGUUUGUCACUUUAACGGUGUACGGUGGAUUCACGACUACCAGGAUGCAUGCGUAGACAAGCUUGAAAGGUUUAUGCGAGGUGAGAUACCAGUCAGGUCGGAUAUUCCAAGGAGUAUCGCAACCAAAGACGUGACACAACCUAAUACACCGGGUAACACGACCAUUCGACAACCACCGAAUUACCAACGUAUGCACAGUAACGAGAGCAGGGGUAGCGACAAAGAUUCAACAGGUGGGCGAGAUUGACUAGAGGGCCCGCCCACAGCCAUACUGAGCAGCCAGGAUUAACAAUCACGCUAAAGACAAUCGAUCAUGACUAGGCUUAGAAAAUCAUCGAGUCCGUCCCGUUGGUUAAUGGGUUUACCGCCU
Molecule: RNA transcript, 3829 nt
Organism: Osmia bicornis bicornis
Lineage: Eukaryota; Metazoa; Arthropoda; Insecta; Hymenoptera; Megachilidae
Gene: Sarm
Gene name: NAD(+) hydrolase sarm1
Exons: 12
Source: RefSeq, a predicted model, not a curated record